GACGAACGCUGGCGGCGUGCCUAAUACAUGCAAGCUGAGCGCUGAAGGUUGGUACUUGUACCAACUGGUUGCGCAGCGCACGGGUGAGUAACGCGUGGGGAAUCUUCCUUUGAGCUGGGGACUACCUUUGGAAACGAAUGCUAAUUCCGCAUAAAAACUUUAAACACAAGUUUUAAGUUUUAAAGAUGCAAUUGCAUCACUCAAAGAUGAUCCCGCUUUGUAUUAUCUAGUUGGUGAGGUAAAGGCUCACCAAGGCGAUGAUACAUAGCCGACCUGAGAGGGUGAUCGGCCACAUUGGGAAGGAGACACGGCCCAAAAUCCUACGGGAGGGAGCAGUAGGGAAUCUUCGGAAAUGGACGAAAGUCUGAACGAGCAAAGCCGGGGGAGGGAAGAAGGGUUUCGGAUCGGAAAACUCUGUUGGUAGAGAAGAAAGUGGGUGAGAGUGGAAAGCUCAUCAAGUGACGGUAACUACACAGAAAGGGACGGCUAACUACGUG
Molecule: ribosomal RNA, 497 nt
Filed under: uncultured bacterium
Lineage: Bacteria
Description: partial 16S ribosomal RNA
Rfam family: Bacterial small subunit ribosomal RNA
Source: RNAcentral